AGGAAAGACCAGACAGGUUCCUGGAACAGAGUAUUUACAGGAGCAGGAUUGAAAUGCUGAAAGGACCUAAACCAGAUGAAGAAUCCCCCAGGAAGAAGUAACACCUGGGCUUUGAGAAUGAAUCAGCAAAAGGAAGUAAUUAAAAGAAACAUGCUGAACAAAGCUUGGUGUGGAAGCAACUUGUCACCCCUUCUGUGAGCUGAUCAACUCAGCAAACAGAGCACUACUUUGCCCCCUGUCCUUUUUAAUCUGUGCUUGCUUUUCCAGCUAGAAACCCAUAUCCUGUAUCCUACGCUGGCUUCCAAGCUUUGGACCCUGAACUCCAGACCCUCCUUUUCCCCUGACCUUUGAACUGAAACUUUGGCUUCCUGACUGCAGACAGGUCUCAAGAUUCUGCUGCCUCAUUUUGUUGCAUUGUUCACCAGGUCAAAAUCUCAUUGAAAUCAAUGGCAAAUGCUCAGAUGGUUCAAAGCCAUCUAUGCACUGAAAUUGUGUCUUCAUCAGUGUUAUGAAAUAAAAUUAUAAUCCUGCACAUGAGGAAAUUUAUGAAACAGGAAGUGGAAUACCAGCUGUCCUGUCAAACACAUAUUUUUUCAUGGGAUUUUAUGACAUUGGAAUAUGACUGCAUACAUUGACUCUACUGGAAUCUACAUGAUUACUGUGAACUGAGUAUUUUAUUAUUGGACUGAGUUUCAAUGACUAUAUAUUGAGGAUUGUAGUUUUUGUCUGUCUUUCUUGUAAUAAAUGCUUGUUGUUGCUGC
Long non-coding RNA from Heteronotia binoei (common prickly gecko), 761 nucleotides. RefSeq lists it as uncharacterized. Lineage: Eukaryota; Metazoa; Chordata; Lepidosauria; Squamata; Gekkonidae. The transcript is spliced from 3 exons. The record is from RefSeq and is a predicted model, not a curated record.